AGGGCUUAGCUGGCCUGUGAAC
RNAcentral lists this microRNA (22 nucleotides) under Ornithorhynchus anatinus (platypus). RNAcentral describes it as "Oan-Mir-27-P3_5p* (star (passenger))". Lineage: Eukaryota; Metazoa; Chordata; Mammalia; Monotremata; Ornithorhynchidae. The record is from RNAcentral.